This 433-nucleotide ribosomal RNA is filed under the name uncultured bacterium. Its description in RNAcentral is "partial 16S ribosomal RNA". It matches the Rfam family "Bacterial small subunit ribosomal RNA", at positions 29 to 507 of the family's 1533-position model. The record is from RNAcentral.
AGCGAACGCUGGCGGCAGGCCUAACACAUGCAAGUCGAACGAACUCUUCGGAGUUAGUGGCGGACGGGUGAGUAACACGUGGGAACGUGCCUUUUGGUUCGGAAUAACUCAGGGAAACUUGUGCUAAUACCGAAUGUGCCCUUCGGGGGAAAGAUUUAUCGCCAUUAGAGCGGCCCGCGUCUGAUUAGCUAGUUGGUGAGGUAACGGCUCACCAAGGCGACGAUCGGUAGCUGGUCUGAGAGGAUGACCAGCCACACUGGGACUGAGCCACGGCCCAGACUCUUACGGGAGGGAGCAGUGGGGAAUCUUGCGCAAUGGGCGAAAGCCUGAAGCAGCCAUGCCGCGUGAAUGAUGAAGGUCUUAGGAUUGUAAAAUUCUUUCACCGGGGACGAUAAUGACGGUACCCGGAGAAGAAGCCCCGGCUAACUUCGUG